Molecule: ribosomal RNA, 497 nt
Filed under: uncultured bacterium
Lineage: Bacteria
Description: partial 16S ribosomal RNA
Rfam family: Bacterial small subunit ribosomal RNA
Source: RNAcentral
GAUGAACGCUGGCGGCGUGCCUAAUACAUGCAAGUCGAGCGAAAAGACGCGGAGCUUGCUCCUCUGACGUUAGCGGCGGACGGGUGAGUAACACGUGGAUACCCUCCCUAUAAGACUGGGAUAACUUCGGGAAACCGGCGAUAAUACCGUAUAAUAUCUUGAACCGCAUGGUUCAAUAGUGAAUGACGGUUUUGCUGUCUCUUAUCGCUGGAUACCGGCUGCAUUAGAUAGUUGGUACGGUAACGGCUUACCAAGGCGAGUAUGCGUAGCCGACCUGAGGGGCGGGUCGGCGGCCUGGGAACGGAGACGCGGACCAGGCGCCUACGGGAGGCAGCAGAAGGGAAUGGUCCGCAGUGGGCGAAAGCAUGACGGAGCAAGGCGGCGUGAGAUGUGAAGGUCUUCGGAUCGUAAAACUGUGUUAUGAGGGAAGAACAAAUGUGUAAUGAACUAUGCACGUCGUGACGGUACCGAAUCAGAAAGCCACGGCUAACUACGUG